GCCUUUAGCUCAGAUGGUAGAGCAUGAGACUUUUAAUUUCAGGGUUGUGGGUUCAAGCCCCAUGUUGAGUG
RNAcentral lists this transfer RNA (71 nucleotides) under Podarcis lilfordi (Lilford's wall lizard). RNAcentral describes it as "tRNA.Lys". The stretch from base 6 to 63 matches the Rfam family "tRNA", at positions 8 to 63 of the family's 71-position model. From Rfam's summary of the family: Transfer RNA (tRNA) molecules are approximately 80 nucleotides in length. Lineage: Eukaryota; Metazoa; Chordata; Lepidosauria; Squamata; Lacertidae. The record is from RNAcentral.